GACGAACGCUGGCGGCGUGCUUAACACAUGCAAGUCGAACGGAAAGGCCCUGCUUUUGUGGGGUGCUCGAGUGGCGAACGGGGGAGUAACACGUGAGUAACCUGCCCUUGACUUUGGGAUAACUUCAGGAAACUCGGGCUAAUACCGCAUAGGAGAUCCUGCAGCGUGGGGGGGGUUGGAGAGUUUCGGCGGUUGGGGCUGGAAUCGCGGCUUAUGAGCUUGUUUGUGGGGUAGUGGAUGACCAAGGCUUUGACGGGUAGCCGGCCUGAGAGGGUGAACGGCCACAUUGCUACUGCGAUACGGCGCAGACUCCUACGGGAGGCAGAAGUGGGGAAUAUUGCACAGUGGGCGGAAGCCUGAUGCAGCAACGCCGCGUGCGGGAUGACGGCCUUCGGGUUGUAAACCGCUUUCGCCUGUGCCGAAGAGUGAGUGACGGUAAUGGGUAAAGAAGCACCGGCUAACUACGUG
Molecule: ribosomal RNA, 468 nt
Filed under: uncultured bacterium
Lineage: Bacteria
Description: partial 16S ribosomal RNA
Rfam family: Bacterial small subunit ribosomal RNA
Source: RNAcentral